This 1032-nucleotide ribosomal RNA is filed under the name Haloterrigena sp. IARI-SOAB2. RNAcentral describes it as "bacterial SSU rRNA". It matches the Rfam family "Archaeal small subunit ribosomal RNA", at positions 1 to 1031 of the family's 1478-position model. Lineage: Archaea; Methanobacteriati; Methanobacteriota; Halobacteria; Halobacteriales; Natrialbaceae. The record is from RNAcentral.
AUUCCGGUUGAUCCUGCCGGAGGUCAUUGCUAUUGGAGUCCGAUUUAGCCAUGCUAGUUGCACGAGUUCAGACUCGUAGCAGAUAGCUCAGUAACACGUGGCCAAACUACCCUAUGGAUCCGAAUAACCUCGGGAAACUGAGGCUAAUUCGGAAUACGGCUCACCACCUGGAGUGGUGUGAGCCCGAAACGCUCCGGCGCCAUAGGAUGUGGCUGCGGCCGAUUAGGUAGACGGUGGGGUAACGGCCCACCGUGCCCAUAAUCGGUACGGGUUGUGAGAGCAAGAGCCCGGAGACGGUAUCUGAGACAAGAUACCGGGCCCUACGGGGCGCAGCAGGCGCGAAACCUUUACACUGCACGAAAGUGCGAUAAGGGGACUCCAAGUGCGAGGGCAUAUAGUCCUCGCUUUUUGCGACCGUAAGGUGGUCGCGGAAUAAGUGCUGGGCAAGACCGGUGCCAGCCGCCGCGGUAAUACCGGCAGCACGAGUGAUGACCGCUAUUAUUGGGCCUAAAGCGUCCGUAGCUGGCCAUGCAAGUCCAUCGGGAAAUCCGCGCGCUUAACGCGCGGGCGUCCGGUGGAAACUGCAUGGCUUGGGACCGGAAAGACCAGAGGGGUACGUCCGGGGUAGGAUGAAAUCCCGUAAUCCUGGACGGACCACCGGUGGCGAAAGCGCCUCUGGAAGACGGAUCCGACGGUGAGGGACGAAAGCUCGGGUCACGAACCGGAUUAGAUACCCGGGUAGUCCGAGCUGUAAACGAUGUCUGCUAGGUGUGGCACAGGCUACGAGCCUGUGCUGUGCCGCAGGGAAGCCGUGAAAGCAGACCGCCUGGGAAGUACGUCGCAAGGAUGAAACUUAAAGGAAUUGGCGGGGGAGCACUACAACCGGAGGAGCCUGCGGUUUAAUUGGACUCAACGCCGGACAUCUCACCAGCAUCGACAAUGUGCAGUGAAAGUCAGGUUGAUGACCUUACUGGAGCCAUUGAGAGGAGGUGCAUGGCCGCCGUCAGCUCGUAACCGUGAGGCGUCCUGUUA